GGAGUUGGCAAGAAGAAGUUAUCCCACUUUCAAAUCAGGUGAUUCCAGUUUCUCAGUUUGGGAAUAGCACAGCUUCAUCGUCGUUCCAAUCAAACCAGGAUGAAUCACUUUGUGAGAAGCUUUAUUUGGAUACAUAAAGUGGUGGAGAAUAACCAGGAUGUUGAAUAAAUAUCAUAGGACCUGCAAAAGGAAGUUAUCCCACUUUCAAAUCAGGUGAUUCCAGUUUUCCAAUUUGGGAAUAGAAUAGCUUCUUCGUCGUUCCAAUCAAACCAGGAUGAAUCACUUUGUGAGAAGCUUGAUUUGGAUACAUAAAGUGGUGGAGAAUCACCAGGAAGUUGAAUAAAACUCAUAGGAGUUGGCAAGAAGAAGUUAUUCCACUUUCAAAUCAGGUGAUUCUAGUUUCCCA
RNAcentral lists this long non-coding RNA (406 nucleotides) under Brassica napus (rape). RNAcentral describes it as "long non-coding RNA (BNAP_LNC008571)". Lineage: Eukaryota; Viridiplantae; Streptophyta; Magnoliopsida; Brassicales; Brassicaceae. The record is from RNAcentral.